Molecule: ribosomal RNA, 497 nt
Filed under: uncultured bacterium
Lineage: Bacteria
Description: partial 16S ribosomal RNA
Rfam family: Bacterial small subunit ribosomal RNA
Source: RNAcentral
GAUGAACGCUGGCGGCGUGCCUAAUACAUGCAAGUCGAGCGAACAGACGAGGAGCUUGCUCCUCUGACGUUAGCGGCGGACGGGUGAGUAACACGUGGAUAACCUACCUAUAAGACUGGGAUAACUUCGGGAAACCGGAGCUAAUACCGGAUAAUAUAUUGAACCGCAUGGUUCAAUAGUGAAAGACGGUUUUGCUGUCACUUAUAGAUGGAUCCGCGCUGCAUUAGCUAGUUGGUAAGGUAACGGCUUACCAAGGCAACGAUGCGUAGCCGACCUGAGAGGGUGAUCGGCCACACUGGAACUGAGACACGGUCCAGACUCCUACGGGAGGCAGCAGUAGGGAAUCUUCCGCAAUGGGCGAAAGCUUGACGGAGCAACGCCGCGUGAGUGAUGAAGGUCUUCGGAUCGUAAAACUCUGUUAUUAGGGAAGAACAAAUGUGUAAGUAACUAUGCACGUCUUGACGGUACCUAAGCAGAAAGCCACGGCUAACUACGUG